CAGAGAACAACGAUGACAAGCUCUUGGACAAAGUUGUACGUAUCGAAGUUACCAGUUAGGACAGUAUCCAGUCUUAGUAGUUCUCAGCUAGCAACCACUUAUUCAGACCAUGUCAGUAUACAUAUGAAGCAACAGUGAAAAUAAAAGCAGAACCCAGGAGCGAGAAGCACUCAUACCAGGAUAUAGUUGGAGAAUUGCCACUUCAGCUCUAAAGAAUAUAUGUUCUACAGAGAUAUUGAAUGACUCCUUCACAGCAAGACAGUACCAGAGAACUCAAAACUGCUGAUGUGCAGUGCCAUCCAGCUCAUAUGCCCUUUCUUGACACAGCCGAAGAACUAGAAGUUUUCCUUCUGCACUGCAAACAAGACCCUGUCAGAAGUAAAGCCAUAUAAUUUUCCUUCAGGAAAACCUGUGUAAGAUUUUCCACCUCCACCGCUCCAAUGUGUGCAACUUACAGUCAGGUAGACU
Dromaius novaehollandiae (emu) is the source of this 468-nucleotide long non-coding RNA. RefSeq lists it as uncharacterized. The record is from RefSeq and is a predicted model, not a curated record. Lineage: Eukaryota; Metazoa; Chordata; Aves; Casuariiformes; Dromaiidae. The transcript has 4 exons.